Molecule: transfer RNA, 123 nt
Filed under: Gloeothece citriformis PCC 7424
Lineage: Bacteria; Bacillati; Cyanobacteriota; Cyanophyceae; Chroococcales; Aphanothecaceae
Description: tRNA-Und (NNN) (tRNA-Und-NNN-2-1)
Rfam family: tRNA
About the family: Transfer RNA (tRNA) molecules are approximately 80 nucleotides in length. Their secondary structure includes four short double-helical elements and three loops (D, anti-codon, and T loops).
Source: RNAcentral
GGCGGGGUAGUUUAGCGGUAAAACACUUAAACAUCCUUGUUCACCCCUUGCCUAAUUAGGCCGAAGAAUGAGGGUUAUCGCUUACCAUGCGAGAAUGGCUGGGUUCGAGUCCCGCUCCCGCCC